GUUUAACAACUAGUGUCAAAGAAACUGAUCUAGAAGGAACAUGAUUUUACAAAUGCAUUUGCUCUGGCUGCUGUUCUCUGUGUUUGAAGAAUCCAGUGGGCAGAUUGUUAUCACUCAGACACCUGCUUCUGUGACGGUGCUUCCAGAAGAGACGGUCACCAUUCAGUGCAAGGCAUCCAGCUCCGUUAGCAAUGAAAUGGACCUAUAUCGAUUCAGACCAGGAGAGGUUCCCAAGCUCCUCAUUUAUCAUGCCACCAACCGUUUCACUGGGGUCCCCGAUCGAUUCAGUGGUCGAUACAGCGGCACUGACUUCACAUUCACCAUUAGUGGGGUGCAGGCUGAUGAUGAAGGUGAAUACUACUGUCAGCAGGACUAUACAACCCCGCUCACAGUGAUACAACUCAAUGCAAAAACCUCAUUAGUGCUGCAGCCUUCUUGGCAUGAAGCAGAAGGAAACAGCUGCAGUUGUUUCUAAACGAAUGCAUGUGCAAAGUUUCUAAUGAGAAUCAUCCAUAUAGCGGAAGACUCCCAUUGGACUUUCUGAUUAUUGGAUUUAUUCCUCUGAAAUCGUUUUCUGAAUUAGCAGGGGCAGGCACUGUACAGGAAAUAAUUGAGGUACACCAGCUAAUCCCAAUAUCACACAGUCAGGUUAACUAGAACCCGAUGGCCUCCCAAAAUAAUUUCUACUGAAUUGUUUGUAAAAUGAACAGUAUUUUUCCUUUGUGCACACGUCUUCCAGAUCCCCUGCACACAUGAACAAUCCUCUGUUAGUAUUUUCGGAACCAUGAUUAUUAGCACUUCAUUCCCAUAGGCUGUGUCUACACUUAUGGUGGCAUCUAGAUCACAGGCACUACAUUUGUAGCUACGCGCCACAGUUAAAAGGUUCCGGCAGCAGGGAAAGCUCCACCAGCUCCCCACUGCUGGGGCCUUUCACUGCAGCGAAGAAAGGGUCUGGCUUGGGUAGGCUGCGGGGAAAGACUGUCGCAGCAGGUAGGCAGUGGGACAUGCACUGUUAAAAAUACCAGUGUAAACUUCGGAGGCACUGCUUGGGCCAGGAG
This is a non-coding RNA of Chrysemys picta bellii (western painted turtle), 1058 nucleotides long. The record is from the annotation of a RefSeq genome assembly. NCBI's taxonomy places the organism in Eukaryota, Metazoa, Chordata, Testudines, Emydidae.